This 367-nucleotide ribosomal RNA is filed under the name Parachaetodon ocellatus (sixspine butterflyfish). RNAcentral's name for it is "partial 12S ribosomal RNA". It matches the Rfam family "Bacterial small subunit ribosomal RNA", at positions 801 to 1372 of the family's 1533-position model. The record is from RNAcentral. Lineage: Eukaryota; Metazoa; Chordata; Actinopteri; Chaetodontiformes; Chaetodontidae.
UAAACACCGACAGUAGUCUACAAUCGCUGUCCGCCAGGGGACUACGAGCGCCAGCUUAAAACCCAAAGGACUUGGCGGUGCUUUAGACCCACCUAGAGGAGCCUGUUCUGGAACCGAUAUUCCCCGUUAAACCUCACCCUUCCUUGUCAACCCAGCCUAUAUACCGCCGUCGUCAGUUUACCCUGUAAGGGUCCCACAGUAAGCACAAUCGGUAAUACCCAAAACGUCAGGUCGAGGUGUAGCGAAUGGAAGGGGAAGAAAUGGGCUACAUUUACUGGUACAGUAAAUACGGAUGAUUACCCUGCAACGAGUAUCUGAAGGAGGAUUUAGCAGUAAGCAAAAAAUAGAGUGUUUUGCUGAAGUUGGC